RNAcentral lists this ribosomal RNA (427 nucleotides) under uncultured bacterium. Its description in RNAcentral is "partial 16S ribosomal RNA". It matches the Rfam family "Bacterial small subunit ribosomal RNA", at positions 354 to 796 of the family's 1533-position model. The record is from RNAcentral.
GUGGGGAAUUUUGGACAAUGGGCGCAAGCCUGAUCCAGCGACGCCGCGUGGAGGACGAAGGCCUUCGGGUUGUAAACUCCUUUUGGAGGGGAAGAAUAAAUUGACGGUACCCUCAGAAAAAGCCACGGCUAACUACGUGCCAGCAGCCGCGGUAAUACGUAGGUGGCGAGCGUUACUCGGAAUUACUAGGCGUAAAGCGUAUGUAGGUGGUUAGAUAAGUCUAUGGUGAAAUUUCCUGGCUUAACUGGGAAGGGACAUAGAUACUAUCUGGCUUGAGUGUGGGAGGGGGAGACGGAAUUCCUGGUGUAGCGGUGAAAUGCGUAGAUAUCAGGAGGAACACCGAUGGCGAAAGCAGUCUCCUGGCCCAAUACUGACACUGAGGUACGAAAGCUAGGGUAGCAAACAGGAUUAGAAACCCGGGUAGUCC